RNAcentral lists this ribosomal RNA (253 nucleotides) under uncultured bacterium. RNAcentral describes it as "partial 16S ribosomal RNA". It matches the Rfam family "Bacterial small subunit ribosomal RNA", at positions 524 to 776 of the family's 1533-position model. The record is from RNAcentral.
UACGUAGGGUCCGAGCGUUGUCCGGAAUUAUUGGGCGUAAAGAGCUCGUAGGCGGUUUGUUGCGUCGGCUGUGAAAUCCCGAGGCUCAACCUCGGGUCUGCAGUCGAUACGAGCAAACUAGAGUGUUGCAGGGGAGACUGGAAUUCCUGGUGUAGCGGUGAAAUGCGCAGAUAUCAGGAGGAACACCGGUGGCGAAGGCGGCUGCCUGGGCCUGGCCUGACGCUGAGGCGCGAAAGCGUGGGGAGCAAUCCGG